Rana temporaria (common frog) is the source of this 202-nucleotide long non-coding RNA. RefSeq lists it as uncharacterized. The record is from RefSeq and is a predicted model, not a curated record. NCBI's taxonomy places the organism in Eukaryota, Metazoa, Chordata, Amphibia, Anura, Ranidae. The transcript has 3 exons.
UGACUCCAGCAUGCUGUGCUGUGCAGGAUCAAGGAUUGCUCCCAGCAAGUCGUCUCAGGGAGUGAUGCCAUCAAGAGGGUUUUACAAGACGUUGUAGCUUGUGGGGUUUUUUCAUCCCGUGGAGAGCUGUAGGAAAAAAUGAAUUUUUAUAAACACAGUGGCUAUGGUGAGGCUGCUUUCAAGAAAAUAGAAUAUGCCUAUG